This 495-nucleotide ribosomal RNA is filed under the name uncultured bacterium. Its description in RNAcentral is "partial 16S ribosomal RNA". It matches the Rfam family "Bacterial small subunit ribosomal RNA", at positions 28 to 507 of the family's 1533-position model. The record is from RNAcentral.
GACGAACGCUGGCGGCGUGCCUAAUACAUGCAAGUAGAACGCUGAAGGAGGAGCUUGCUUCUCUGGAUGAGUUGCGAACGGGUGAGUAACGCGUAGGUAACCUGCCUGGUAGCGGGGGAUAACUAUUGGAAACGAUAGCUAAUACCGCAUAAGAGUAGAUGUUGCAUGACAUUUGCUUAAAAGGUGCAAUUGCAUCACUACCAGAUGGACCUGCGUUGUAUUAGCUAGUUGGUGGGGUAACGGCUUACCAAGGCGACGAUACAUAGCCGACCUGAGAGGGUGAUCGGCCACACUGGGACUGAGACACGGCCCAGACUCCUACGGGAGGCAGCAGUAGGGAAUCUUAGGCAAUGGACGGAAGUCUGACCGAGCAACGCCGCGUGAGUGAAGAAGGUUUUCGGAUCGUAAAGCUCUGUUGUAAGAGAAGAACGAGUGUGAGAGUGGAAAGUUCACACUGUGACGGUAUCUUACCAGAAAGGGACGGCUAACUACGUG